AUUGAACGCUGGCGGCAUGCCUAACACAUGCAAGUCGAGCGAGCGGCGGACGUGUGAGUAAUGUAUGGGGAUCUGCCCUAUCUAGGGUGAUUACUACUGGAAACUGUCGCUAAUACCGCAUUCUCUCGCAUUAUCCCAUAUGGGAUUAGCUAGUAGGUGGGGUAAAGGCGCAAAUAGGCGACGAUCGCUAGCUGGUCUGAGAGGAUGACCAGCCACAAUGGAACUGAGAAACGGCCCAGACUCGUACGGGAGGCAGCAGUGGGGAAUAUUGCAGAAUGGGCGGAAGCCUGAUGGAGCAAUGCCGCGUGGAUGAAGAAGGCCUGAGGGUUGAAAAGUACUUUAAGCGGGGAGGCGUUACCCGCAGAAGAAGCAACGGCUAACUCCGUGCCAGCAGCCGCGGUAAUAC
This 406-nucleotide ribosomal RNA is filed under the name uncultured bacterium. Its description in RNAcentral is "partial 16S ribosomal RNA". It matches the Rfam family "Bacterial small subunit ribosomal RNA", at positions 30 to 526 of the family's 1533-position model. The record is from RNAcentral.